UCAGGACGAACGCUGGCGGUAUGCUUAACACAUGCAAGUCGAACGAGAAACCUCGAAUAGAAGCCUUCGGGAGGAAAGGAGAGGAAGAAAGUGGCGAACGGGUGAGUAACGCGUGGGCAACCUACCUCACGGAAAGGGAUAGCCUCGGGAAACCGGGAGUAAAACCAUAUAAGACCACAGCGUCGCAUGACGCAGGGGUCAAAACUCCGGUGCCGUGAGAUGGGCCCGCGUCCCAUUAGCUAGUUGGCAGGGUAAAGGCCUACCAAGGCGACGAUGGGUAGCCGGUCUGAGAGGGCGAACGGCCACAUUGGAACUGAGACACGGUCCAAACUCCUACGGGAGGCAGCAGUGGGGAAUAUUGCGCAAUGGGGGAAACCCUGACGCAGCAAUACCGCGUGAGCGAAGAAGGUUUUCGGAUCGUAAAGCUCUGUUAUCGGGGAAGAAGAAGUGACGGUACCCGAUGAGGAAGUCCCGGCUAACUACGUGCCAGCCGCCGC
RNAcentral lists this ribosomal RNA (497 nucleotides) under uncultured bacterium. RNAcentral describes it as "bacterial SSU rRNA". It matches the Rfam family "Bacterial small subunit ribosomal RNA", at positions 24 to 518 of the family's 1533-position model. The record is from RNAcentral.